Non-coding RNA from Ictidomys tridecemlineatus (thirteen-lined ground squirrel), 5170 nucleotides. NCBI's taxonomy places the organism in Eukaryota, Metazoa, Chordata, Mammalia, Rodentia, Sciuridae. The record is from RefSeq and is a predicted model, not a curated record.
GGUGGACGCGGCGGGAGGAGCCCGCACGAAGCCGUGUGCCCGGCCGGGCGGCCUGUGAGAAGCGCUGAGUCAUGGCAGGAGAUCAGCCCAGCGGACGUGCGAGGAGGAGGAGGAGAAGAAGGAGGAAGAGCUGGGCGCUGGCGGUGCGGCAGGGACUUGGGAGCAGUCUUUGGGAAGCUUGCUCUGCAGGACCAUCCUGGACACCAGCCAUGCCCAAGGGCCUGAGGCAGGAGGGAAUCAACCUUGACCUAGAAAGCCUAACCUGCGUGGAACUGGGAGAAAGGGAGAACAGGAGAGCAUGAGCCGACACCGUUUUUUGUGGGUAAGGAAUCCAGAGGCAUCUUUGCUGGAUACCCUGGCUCAGAGACUCUCUUAAGGAUGAAGUCAACAAGGGCUGCCUUCAUCUCAAGACUUGGAAAUGGAUACAUCUCAAAAUCUUACCACCAACUACUUCCAAGUGGCUGGAAUGGAGAAAAAAAAAUGGACAAUAAUGUCAUCAGGGACACAUUUCUUAAUAUGCCAUUUGUUAAAUAUGGGAGUUUUCUACCUCAGGCUCUAGGAAACUGAUACAUAAAGAGCCUUCUUGUUGAAGCAGAAUGGAAGGCAGUUUCCUGGACAAGGAAAACAUCUAUUGAAAAUGUGAAUCUUUGAAUGAAAGAUAAUGUCCAUCUAUAGAACAGGAUUUUCCACUGUGACACACACACCAGCUACAAAAGUUAAAAAAUGAAGUCACAGAAAAAGUCCCUCCAAUUACCACAGUAGAAAGCAAUAUCCUUUUUAAGACAGUUCAAAAUAAUAAAAACUUGCCUCAAUGUUUUAUUUUAAUAUAAAAUGUAUAUAUGUAUAUGAUUUGUUUGCCCUUAUUAAAAGCUGUUUUUUGGAAUCUGCUGAUUUCAGGACUUCCUUAACCACUUUUUUUGUAUUAAUGAUAUGUAGAAGGCAUUUGCUGUAACAUCCACUUUCAGUUUCAUUAAAGUAGAAGUAGAACAAGAAUUUAAGAUAGGAGAUCAUGGUGCAGAGUUCUAAUUUUUUAAAAUUCUACUAACUGUUGCCAAAGGAUUCAAUUGUUUUCAUAGAAACAAUAACCUUUUUACUUUUGACAUUCAUAUUUAUGUUUGCAUUAAAUUAAUUUAAAUUACAUAAUUACAAUAACAAGUUGGACUGGCAUGAACAAGUUUAGUAAUCAGCACAUUAACUCUUAAGUUUGCCAUUCAGCAUGUAGGGACAGUAGGGCAGGGUUCAUAUAUGAACAGUCUUCUGGCCAUGAGUAUUUGUCAAGUCAUGAGUUUGUGUGCCUUUUACAAGGACAGUGGAGAGCACCUGUUAACCUGCAAAAUCACUGAUGUGGAGGUAUCUAAAUAUCUGUCUAUUAUGGACUGAAUGAUAUGCUCCCUCAAAAUUCACAUGUUAUUAGAAGUGUACUUUCUCAAUUUUGAAGGUGCAAGAUUUUGUGAUGCAGAUUUCCCAGGAGAAUCAGUGUUCUGAUAGACUAUUUCAAACAAUAUGCAUGUACAGAAGAUUAAGUUUUGUCAGACAAAUUUGCAAUUGGAAAAUAUACUUUUCAAACAAUCAUCUUACUAGAAAUUUAGUACUUACUAUGUGCCAAGAAGUGUGCUUAUCUGAGGACAUCAGAAUAAUCUGUCCUCAUUUUGAGGAGAAUCCUUCAUUUCUUUUUGUUUUUUUUUUUCAUACUGAGGAUUAAACCCAGGAGUACUUUACCACUGAGUUAUAUUCCCACCCCUUUUUAUUUUUAAUUUUGAGAUGGGGCCUCACUAAGUUCCUAAAGGUCUCCCUAAAUUGCUGAGGCUGGCUGUGAACUUGCAAUUGUCCUCCAUUAGCUUCCAGAGUAGCUGAAUUAUGUGUGCACCACUGUGCUUGGUAGAAUCCUUCAUUUCUAAGACAUAUUUUCUCUUUAAAAAGUUUUCACUUUUAAAGUACCUGUAAAAUAAUGAUGAAAUUUUUCCAGGUAUGAUGGUGUGCACCUCUUUUGGGCAGAAGGCCAAUGCAGGGGGAUCUCAAGUUCAAGGCCAGGCUGGGAAAUUUAGAGAGACCCCCAUCUCAAAAUAAAAAAUAAAAAGGGCCAUGAAUGUAGCUCAGGGAUAGAGUGCCCCAUUGCUCAGUCCUUAGUAUGACUAAAUAAAUAAAUACAUAAAUAUGUUGGUGAGUUUGAAAUGUGAAUGUAAUGAAUGGAGUAUGAAUGUAUUUUGAAAAUUUGAAGUAUUCUAGCAUGUUGAAUAGUUGUUAAUCUUUUUAGAAUGAAUAAAUCUUUUUAGAAUGAAUACUUAUAUAUACAGAUAUUCAAAACUAUCAGAUUAUAUCUUCCUAUUUGGAUAUGGGAAAUGUACAAGGAUAUUAUUUUCUAGUUGUACCCAAAUAAAUGUAUGAUUGCAAUUGUAGUUAAGCCAUCACCAUUAUUUAUCAUUAUUUAAUCUCAUAGUACUUUUUGAAUAUAUAGGUUAACAUUUGAUUUUAUAUAGAUUAUACUGUAUCUUCUAUGUCUCUUGAAAAAAUAAGUAAAAUAAGUAUUUUAAGUAAAAAGUUAUAUCCAAGGAAAUUGGAUUCCAUUAUAGGAAUUGGAAACCCAUUUAUAGUGAAUACUAUUUCCUUCAAUGGUUGUGUUUAAUUUUGAAAUCCAUUAUCUUUGAGUCUUUAAUACUUUGUUCAUUUUCUUAUAUAACAAAUACUAUUGAGUGAUAUAUGGGAAUGCUAUCUAUCAUCAACCAACCAAUUUUAGCCUUACAACUAAAAUGAAAUCUUCAAAAAACUCAUACAUUGAAGUGCUAACAUCCAGUGUAGCUAUAAUUGGAGUAAAGAAGUAAUUAAAAUUAAAUGAAAUUGUAAGGGUGGGGUCCUGAGCCUGCUGGAUUAGUGUUCUUAUAAGAAAAAUCCAGAAGAGCUGGCUCUGUCAUACCAGGAUAGAACACAGCUAUAAGGCAAUAGUCUGCAAGUCAGGAAGAGAGCUUUCUCCAGAAACCUACCCUGCUGGACCUGAUCAGAGGUUUCUAGUCUCCAGAACAUAGUUCUGCUAUUUAAACCAUCUGGUCUAAGGAAUUUUUCUAUGGCAGCCCAAAUAGACUAAUGCACUAUCCUUUUAUCCCUAGUAUUUAAUACUAUUCCUUUGUAUAAUAUCUUGGGUUCUGAGGAACAAUUAAUAGCAAAAGACAGUUGGGAAAUACAAAAUUAUUCAAUGUGUGGAAAACUGACUUAAAAGUAUAGAACAUAAGUUAAUAGAUCCUGAUAAGUACCACAUUUUAAUUUUAAUUCAUGCAAAUAUUGAAAUGUUUUAGACAUCUAAUUCUAGUAACUAGUUACUAUAUACUCGGCUCCUGAGUCUAUGACUAAAAAAUAAUCUUUGAUAGUCUACCAUAGGCUAGACAGCUUUCCUUUUGUAACAUCUGUAAACAAGAGUCUCAUGGUAUUACUAUAACUAUGCUUUAAAAUGAGGAAACACAAAUAAGGAGCAAGACAAAAAUAUGACUAUUAUUUUUCUUUCUACUGGAAGUUUCACUCAGUAUAAGACCUGAGAAAAAUAGAGAUGUUAAGAAUUAGAAAAUCUUACAAUUGUCAUCAUUUUUAAUUUCUGUUUUUCUACAUUAAAAUAUCCAGGGGAAUCAACAGAUAAUGGUUGUGCAAACCAACUGUAUUCUUUUUUUAAAAUAUUUUUUAGUGUUGACGGACCUUCAUUUUAUUCAUUUAUUUAUAUGUGGUGCUGAGAAUUGAACCCAGUGCCUCACAUGUGUGAGGCAAGCACUCCACACCACUGAGCCACAACCCCAGCCCCCCAACUGUAUUCUUAAAAACCAGCAACAAAUAGUCCAAAAGUAUAACUUUUGAAGAUAUCAUUAAUGUAUAAUAGCAGUAAAGCAUACCACUAGAAUAAAUAUUUUAGAAUGGUGAAAUAUUUUUAUAAAGAAAAAUAUGAAACUUUAAAAAAGACAAUAAGGAAACUAAUGUUGAUGAAUGGCAAGUCUCAGUAACAAAGAUAUGAGUUUUCCUGAAAUCCAAAAAUCCAACAGGCAUUUUUGAUGAAAGUUAAUGAAUCUACCCUAAGUCCAUAUGAAUGAGCAAAUAGCCAGCAAUUGCCAAAAUAAUUCUGAAGACCAACAAGAGACUCAUUCUCUUAGGUAUCUUGUAUCUUGUAUCCUGAAACUAUAGUGAUUAGAACAAUGUGAUUUAAAACAGCAUGACUCCACAGGGAUAGACAAAUAAAUUGAUGGAAGGCUUAGAAUGGGGUUCACCUAUAUAUGGAAACUUGUGAUGCAAUAGAGGAGGCAUAAAAAAUCACUGGGGAUGGGAUUCUGGAAUAGCUGACUGUCUACACUGAGAAAAAAAUAUUUUAAUCUCUAUUUCAUAUCAUUCCCCUCAAACAAAUUUGAGGGAAAUAAAAUUUAACUUUUUAUGUACACUAAAAGAUAUUAUAAUGAAAUGAAGACAUUCUAAACUGAAGGAAUUUAAUUAUAAUGUAUAUAAUUGAUAAAGGAUUAUUACUUAGGAGAUCUAAAAGUAGUCCUCCAAGUCAUUAAAAAAUAUUCUAAUAGAAAAAAAAGAUCAAAAGACAGGAUAGAAGUUCAUUGUGGAAGAAGAAACUUGAAUGAGUAAUAAAAAUAGGAAAAGAUUGGUAAUUGUGUUAGCUUUUCAUCGUUGUGAUCAGAAUGCCAGGAACAAGCUAUAGUCCCCAAGGGUAUGCUUCCAGAAAUCCACCUCCUCCAGCCAUACCCCACCAACCUGAAGUUAUCACUCAGUAGUCCUGUGAGGAGCCAAUCAGCUAGAUGUUGCUGGGGCCGCUGUGAGCCAAUCAUCAGCAAACUUCCAGCUGCCACCUGUCUCUGAAAUUUGCUGUAUUGUGGACCAAGCUUUCAAUACAUAAGCUUUUGGGAAUAUUACAGAUCCAAACCUUAACAGUAAUUAAGAAAUACAAAUUGAAAAUGAAAUUCCAUAUCACACCCAUUGGAUUGGCAAAAAUUAAAAAGUCUGACCAUUCCAAGUAUUGAAAGGAUGUGAAGAAACAGGACUAUCAGACACAGCUAGAAAGAGCAUUAUCCAUGAAAGCCACUUUGGAAAGCAAUUUAUUUAUUUUUUUUUAUUGGUUGUUCAAAACAUUACAAGGCUCUUGACAUAUCAUAUUUCAAACAUUAGUUUCAAGUGAGUUAUGAACUCCCAUUUUUACCCC